CACGUAGGGCGCGAGCGUUGUCCGGAAUUACUGGGCGUAAAGCGUGCGCAGGCGGUGAGCUGUGUCCGAUGUGAAAGCCCCGGGCUUAACCUGGGAAUGGCAUUGGAAACUGGCUCGCUGGAGUGUGGCAGAGGGGGGUGGAAUUCCGCGUGUAGCAGUGAAAUGCGUAGAGAUGCGGAGGAACACCGAUGGCGAAGGCAGCCCCCUGGGCUAACACUGACGCUCAGGCACGAAAGCGUGGGGAGCAAACAGG
This 253-nucleotide ribosomal RNA is filed under the name uncultured bacterium. RNAcentral's name for it is "partial 16S ribosomal RNA". It matches the Rfam family "Bacterial small subunit ribosomal RNA", at positions 524 to 776 of the family's 1533-position model. The record is from RNAcentral.